GCAAGUCGAACGAGAUGGUCCAAUGAAGAUGGAGAGCUUGCUCAAAAUUGGAUUUGGGUUGCCAUCUAGUGGUAGACGGGUGAGUAACACGUGGGUAAUCUACCUCAGAGACUGGGAUAACGGCUAGAAAUGGUCGCUAAUACCGGAUGAUUCAUAAUUAGAUAACUAGUUAUGCUAAAAGGGGCUUCGGCCUCACUUUGAGAUGAGCUUGCGGUGUAUUAGCUAGUUGGUGGGGUAAUGGCCUACCAAGGCAACGAUGCAUAUCCGAGCUGAGAGGCUGAUCGGACACAUUGGAACUGAGACACGGUCCAGACUCCUACGGGAGACAGCAGUUAGGAAUAUUCGUCAAUGGGGGAAACCCUGAACGAGCAAUGCCGCGUGAGUGAUGAAGGCCCUAUGGGUCGUAAAACUCUGUUGCGAAGGAAGAACACUUAAGAUAGGUAAUGAUCUUGAGUUGACGGUACUUCGCCAGAAAGCCCCGGCUAACUACGUGCCAGCAGCAGC
RNAcentral lists this ribosomal RNA (504 nucleotides) under uncultured bacterium. Its description in RNAcentral is "bacterial SSU rRNA". It matches the Rfam family "Bacterial small subunit ribosomal RNA", at positions 57 to 518 of the family's 1533-position model. The record is from RNAcentral.